CCUACGGGGCGCAGCAGUGGGGAAUAUUGCGCAAUGGGCGAAAGCCUGACGCAGCGACGCCGCGUGAAGGAAGAAGGCUUUCGGGUUGUAAACUUCUUUUAAGGGGGAAGAGCAGAAGACGGUACCCCUUGAAUAAGCCACGGCUAACUACGUGCCAGCAGCCGCGGUAAUACGUAGGUGGCAAGCGUUGUCCGGAUUUACUGGGUGUAAAGGGCGUGCAGCCGGAGAGACAAGUCAGAUGUGAAUUCCACGGGCUCAACCCGUGAACUGCAUUUGAUACUGUUUCCCUUGAGUGUCGGAGAGGUAAUCGGAAUUCCUUGUGUAGCGGUGAAAUGCGUAGAUAUAAGGAAGAACACCAGUGGCGAAGGCGGAUUACUGGACGAUAACUGACGGUGAGGCGCGAAAGCGUGGGGAGCAAACAGGAUUAGAUACCCCUGUAGUC
RNAcentral lists this ribosomal RNA (442 nucleotides) under uncultured bacterium. RNAcentral's name for it is "partial 16S ribosomal RNA". It matches the Rfam family "Bacterial small subunit ribosomal RNA", at positions 338 to 795 of the family's 1533-position model. The record is from RNAcentral.